CACAACAACAGAAAGCAGCACAACCGAGGCCACAACAGACACCACAACACCAGAAAGCACUACUACUGGUACCACAACAACAGAAAGCACCACAACCGAGACCACAACAGACACUACAACACCAGAAAGCACCACUACAGGUACUACAACAACAGAAAGCACAACAACAGAGACCACAACAGACACAACAACACCAGAAAGUACCACUACAGGUACCACAACAACAGA
Carassius gibelio (silver crucian carp) is the source of this 228-nucleotide long non-coding RNA. RefSeq lists it as uncharacterized. Lineage: Eukaryota; Metazoa; Chordata; Actinopteri; Cypriniformes; Cyprinidae. The record is from RefSeq and is a predicted model, not a curated record. The transcript is spliced from 3 exons.